CCCUUAGAUGUCCUGGGCUGCACGCGCGCUACACUGACACAGGCAACGAGCUUUCCUUUACCGAAAGGUAUGGGUAAUCUUUUGAAACUGUGUCGUGCUGGGGAUAGAUCCUUGCAAUUUUUGAUCUUAAACGAGGAAUUCCUAGUAAGCGCGAGUCAUCAACUCGCGUUGAUUACGUCCCUGCCCUUUGUACACACCGCCCGUCGCUACUACCGAUUGAAUGGCUUAGUGAGGCCUCAGGAUCCGCGCUUAAUGUGUGGAGAAUUUGGACAAACUACGUCAUUUAGAGGAAGUAAAAGUCGUAACA
RNAcentral lists this ribosomal RNA (307 nucleotides) under uncultured eukaryote. RNAcentral describes it as "partial 18S ribosomal RNA". It matches the Rfam family "Eukaryotic small subunit ribosomal RNA", at positions 1470 to 1796 of the family's 1831-position model. The record is from RNAcentral.